GAUGAAGAACGCAGCAAAAUGCGAUAAGUAAUGUGAAUUGCAGAAUUCAGUGAAUCAUCGAAUCUUUGAACGCACAUUGCGCCCGCUGGUAUUCCGGCGGGCAUGCCUGUUCGAGCGUCAUUUCAACCCUCAAGCCCCCGGGUUUGGUGUUGGGGAUCGGCUCUGCCCUCUGGGCGGUGCCGCCCCCGAAAUACAUUGGCGGUCUCGCUGCAGCCUCCAUUGCGUAGUAGCUAACACCUCGCAACUGGAACGCGGCGCGGCCAUGCCGUAAAACCCCAACUUCUGAAUGUUGACCUCGGAUCAGGUAGGAAUACCCGCUGAACUUAAGCAUAUCAAUAAGCGGAGGA
RNAcentral lists this unclassified non-coding RNA (347 nucleotides) under soil metagenome. Its description in RNAcentral is "partial contains 5.8S ribosomal RNA, internal transcribed spacer 2, and large subunit ribosomal RNA". The stretch from base 1 to 120 matches the Rfam family "5.8S ribosomal RNA", at positions 35 to 154 of the family's 154-position model. The record is from RNAcentral.